This 495-nucleotide ribosomal RNA is filed under the name uncultured bacterium. Its description in RNAcentral is "partial 16S ribosomal RNA". It matches the Rfam family "Bacterial small subunit ribosomal RNA", at positions 28 to 507 of the family's 1533-position model. The record is from RNAcentral.
GACGAACGCUGGCGGCGUGCCUAAUACAUGCAAGUAGAACGCUGAAGGAGGAGCUUGCUUCUCUGGAUGAGUUGCGAACGGGUGAGUAACGCGUAGGUAACCUGCCUGGUAGCGGGGGAUAACUCUUGGAAACGAUAGCUAGUACCGCAUAACAGUAGAUAUCGCAUGAUAUCUACUUGAAAGGUGCAAUUGCAUCACUACCAGAUGGACCUGCGUCGUAUUAGCUAGUUGGUGAGGUAACGGCUCACCAAGGCGACGAUACAUAGCCGACCUGAGAGGGUGAUCGGCCACACUGGGACUGAGACACGGCCCAGACUCCUACGGGAGGCAGCAGUAGGGAAUCUUCGGCAAUGGACGGAAGUCUGACCGAGCAACGCCGCGUGAGGGAAGAAGGUUGUCGGAUCGUAAAGCUCGGUUGUAAGAGAAGAACGAGUGUGAGAGUGGAAAGUUCACACUGUGACGGUAUCUUACCAGAAAGGGACGGCUAACUACGUG